AUUGAACGCUAGCGGCAUGCUUAACACAUGCAAGUCGAACGGCAGCGCGAGGAGCUUGCUCCUUGGCGGCGAGUGGCGAACGGGUGAGUAACGCGUAGGAAUCUACCUUAGAGUGGGGGAUAACCCGGGGAAACUCGGGCUAAUACCGCAUAGUCUCUACGGAGUAAAGCGGGGGAUCUUAGGACCUCGUGCUUUAAGAUGAGCCUGCGUCGGAUUAGCUUGUUGGUGGGGUAAUGGCCUACCAAGGCAACGAUCCGUAGCUGGUCUGAGAGGACGAUCAGCCACACUGGGACUGAGACACGGCCCAGACUCCUAUGGGAGGCAGCAGUGGGGAAUAUUGGACAAUGGGGGCAACCCUGAUCCAGCAAUGCCGCGUGUGUGAAGAAGGCCUUCGGGUUGUAAAGCACUUUCAGCGGGAAGAAAGCUUAAAGAUAAUACCUUUGAGUCUUGACGUUUACCCGCAGAAGAAGCACUGGUAACUCUGUGCCAGC
This 491-nucleotide ribosomal RNA is filed under the name uncultured bacterium. RNAcentral describes it as "bacterial SSU rRNA". It matches the Rfam family "Bacterial small subunit ribosomal RNA", at positions 30 to 512 of the family's 1533-position model. The record is from RNAcentral.